ACGAACGCUGGCGGCGUGCUUAACACAUGCCAGUCGCACGGAAAGGCCCUGCUUGCCGGGUACUCGAGUGGCGAACGGGUGAGUAACACGUGGGUGAUCUGCCCUGCACUUCGGGAUAAGCCUGGGAAACUGGGUCUAAUACCGGAUAGGAGCCAUUUUUAGUGUGAUGGUUGGAAAGUUUUUUCGGUGUAGGAUGAGCUCGCGGCCUAUCAGCUUGUUGGUGGGGUAAUGGCCUACCAAGGCGGCGACGGGUAGCCGGCCUGAGAGGGUGGACGGCCACAGUGGGACUGAGAUACGGCCCAGACUCCGACGGGAGGCAGCAGUGGGGAAUAUUGCACAAGGGGCGCAAGCCUGAUGCAGCAACGCCGCGUGGGGGAUGACGGCCUUCGGGUUGUAAACUCCUUUCGCUAGGGACGAAGCUUUUUGUGACGGUACCUAGAUAAGAAGCACCGGCUAACUACGUG
This 464-nucleotide ribosomal RNA is filed under the name uncultured bacterium. RNAcentral's name for it is "partial 16S ribosomal RNA". It matches the Rfam family "Bacterial small subunit ribosomal RNA", at positions 29 to 507 of the family's 1533-position model. The record is from RNAcentral.